GCCCCUGUGGCUCAGUGGCUAGAGCGGCCGCCUCGUAAGCGGCAGAUCCCGAGUUCAAAUCUCGGCAGGGGCU
Molecule: transfer RNA, 73 nt
Filed under: Nanobdellota archaeon
Lineage: Archaea; Nanobdellati; Nanobdellota
Also listed under: 3 other names
Description: tRNA-Thr
Rfam family: tRNA
About the family: Transfer RNA (tRNA) molecules are approximately 80 nucleotides in length. Their secondary structure includes four short double-helical elements and three loops (D, anti-codon, and T loops).
Source: RNAcentral